GAGAGGUGUCCGAGUGGUUUAAGGAGCCGGUCUUGAAAACCGGUGAUCCCGCGAGGGACCGUGGGUUCGAAUCCCACCCUCUCC
RNAcentral lists this transfer RNA (84 nucleotides) under mouse gut metagenome. It matches the Rfam family "tRNA". From Rfam's summary of the family: Transfer RNA (tRNA) molecules are approximately 80 nucleotides in length. Their secondary structure includes four short double-helical elements and three loops (D, anti-codon, and T loops). The record is from RNAcentral. RNAcentral also lists the same sequence under 1 other name.